UACGUAGGGUGCGAGCGUUGUCCGGAAUUAUUGGGCGUAAAGAGCUCGUAGGCGGUCUGUCGCGUCGGAUGUGAAAACUCGGGGCUCAACCCCGAGCCUGCAUUCGAUACGGGCAGACUAGAGUUCGGUAGGGGAGACUGGAAUUCCUGGUGUAGCGGUGAAAUGCGCAGAUAUCAGGAGGAACACCGGUGGCGAAGGCGGGUCUCUGGGCCGAUACUGACGCUGAGGAGCGAAAGCGUGGGGAGCGAACGGG
This 253-nucleotide ribosomal RNA is filed under the name uncultured bacterium. RNAcentral describes it as "partial 16S ribosomal RNA". It matches the Rfam family "Bacterial small subunit ribosomal RNA", at positions 524 to 776 of the family's 1533-position model. The record is from RNAcentral.